UAACGCUUUUUUCUUAUUGUCUCUAUAUUCCUAAUUCUCCACCUGUAAAACAGUGCAAAUUUAUGAAUCUUGUAACUUACUGUCACAAACCUAGAAAAAUCUUAACAGUGAGGGUGGUUACAGAAUCAUUUAAAGUAUAAACAUUAGUGGGGCUUAAAGAGAAAAUAACAUAAAAUUAUAUGAUAACAGCACAAAGAAUGGAAGGCAAGAAUUGGGAGUACACUGUUCUAAGGCUCUUAAACUACAUGUGAAGUAAUAUAAUAUUAUUUGAAUGCAGACAUGUUAAUUAAAGAUGCAGAUUGUAAACCUAAGGUAACAAGUAAAACUUAAGAGGUACAAAUAAUAAACCAAUAGUGGAAAUAAAGUGGAAUCACAAAACAUAUUAAUUCAAAGGAAGGCAGAAAAAGAUGGAAAAACAAAGAACAGAUAGAAUACAAAACAACCAGAAGGAUAACAGAUUUUAAUUCAAUGACAGCAGUGAUCAUAUUACACUAAGCCAAGGUUAGGAAACUAGAGUCCUGGAGCCAUAUCUGGCCCAUGCCUAUUUUUAUAAAGUGUUCUUGGAAUACAGACAUACUGGUUCAUUUGCAUACUGUACAGCAGCUUUCAUGUUACAGCAUAGUUGAAUGUCUGCAUGACAUACAAGCAUGACCUGUAACCAUGUACCAUUUGGUCCUUUAUUUAAAAAGUCUGUUGGUC
This 699-nucleotide long non-coding RNA is filed under the name Homo sapiens (human). RNAcentral describes it as "HSALNT0198098". The record is from RNAcentral. Lineage: Eukaryota; Metazoa; Chordata; Mammalia; Primates; Hominidae.